Molecule: long non-coding RNA, 386 nt
Filed under: Coffea arabica (coffee)
Lineage: Eukaryota; Viridiplantae; Streptophyta; Magnoliopsida; Gentianales; Rubiaceae
Description: long non-coding RNA (CARA_LNC008202)
Source: RNAcentral
CGCAGAGUAUGGAGUCUCUAACGUCUCGUUUCAACAAUCUAUGUAGGGAAGCACUGAAGUAUGCAGAGGAAGGGGCAAUUUCUUCAGAGACCUAUUGUACUGCAUUGGGUGCAUUAAGGGAAGGUGCAAGAAAGAUUGCUGUGGUGAAGAAGAAUGUUGCCAAAGUUAGACCUCCUUCAUCUCAAGGGAGUGGGCAUUUUCAGGAUGAGAUUAAUAAGAAGACACCUUUACCAACUUCUAAUGCGUGUCCACCUCUGCGGCCAUGGUCAGAUAUGUUGCCACAUUGCUUGAACCUGAAUGACGUUGGUGUCCCUCUUGCUGAUUCGAAUCAACCAUCCACGGGUCCUGUGACUAUUAACCAUGAAGGAAGCCCUUCUGAUAGUUCU